GAUCUAUUUUCGAGAGGGAGACAAGACAUUAGAUACAAAUCACAGGAGCAACAGGACUCAAGCAGUAGACUCAGAGAUCCAAGUAUGAUAAAAGCUGUGCUGAUCAUUAACACCCAAGGCAAACCUCGCCUUACCAAAUUCUACGAUUUUUUGACUGUAGAGAAGCAGCAAGAACUUAUACGCAGUGUAUUUGGAGUGUUAUGUAGUAGAGCUGAUAAUGUUAGCAAUUUCAUGGAGGCUGAUUCAAUCUUUGGCCCAGUAAUUUUUCUUGUUUGUUUCGUUUUGGAAUCUUGAUUUGAUAUACUUGAGGUUGAUCGUCUUUGCAUUUGAGAAUUUCUAUGAUUUUCUUGUUCUACGUGGGCAGGGUAGUCGUCUUGUGUACAAACAUUAUGCAACAUUGUACUUUGUCUUUGUGUUUGAUAAUUCUGAGAAUGAGCUUGCGAUGCUUGAUCUCAUACAAGGCUGCUUUAUGGUCUAAAGAUUUGUUGUCAUUUGAAGUGGGUAUUUUUUUUUUUAGAUAAUCACAAGGCUGUUGCUCAUUUAACCCUUGAAACUGUACGGUCGAUAGCUUUUAGCACCUUUUUUAAAUUGUUAUUUACUUUUGGGAUCCUUUUAACCUGUGUUAUGAAGGACAGAAGAUUAAGUUUAUCAGUUAUGUUCCAUCUGAUUAUAUAAAUAGUGUGCAGGUCAAUUCUUGUCACAAAUGUAAGUGCUUCCUUUGUUUUAUUAUUUCAUUGCUUGGCGGAUUUUGCUAAUGUGAACCCUCCUGCCUUCAGUUUUUGUGGAAAUACUGGAUAAAUGCUUCAGGAAUGUAUGCGAGUUUGAUGUAGUUUUCAAUUACAGCAAGCUCCAUACUAUUUUAGAUGGGAUAAUUUUUGAAGGUCAAGUGUUGGAAACAAGCUCUGCAGAAGUUACAAGGGCUGUUGAAGAAAUAUCGAAGUUAGAAGCAGCCUCAAAUUCUAUCUCAUUAGUCGCCAAAACAGUUUCUGGUUGGCGUCGCCGGUAAUCCACUCAUUAGAACGAUGUUGGAAUAACAACGGGUGCACUCUUCAUAAUGCUAUUGUGGCAGUCAAACUCGAAGUGUUUCCUAAGUGUUGUAUUAAUUAUGCAAGCUCUUACAGUAUUUGGAGUUUGAUGCACUAGCAAUUCUUUCAAUGCUACAAAGAGAACUUCAAAAUCAAGAGUUCUACACUA
Molecule: RNA transcript, 1194 nt
Organism: Populus euphratica (Euphrates poplar)
Lineage: Eukaryota; Viridiplantae; Streptophyta; Magnoliopsida; Malpighiales; Salicaceae
Gene name: AP-3 complex subunit sigma
Exons: 6
Source: RefSeq, a predicted model, not a curated record